AAAGGUGUACUUAAGUCAGACUUGUGAGUCAUCCUGGACACAGUUUGAAAAUACUAAGCUUGUGAGUAACUGAGCCAAGAUAUGUGACCUGAAAAACAUUCUAUCAAGCUAAAGAAAACUUCCCAAACUAAAGACUCAUACUGAACCAGAAGCCUGUGUCAUUGUUUCAGACACAUGUAAUUGCCCAUUAGGAGCCCCACUGAGGACACUUCUCUUUGUGUUGCUCGGCCUCUUGUAGUAGACUCAGGUACAUGGCAAAUGAACAAAUAACAGCACAAUUAUUAGUCACAAUGUCUCUUCACACACAUUUUCAGCAUUGGUCUAAAAUAGUUCCAAGAAUCUUUCCUCAAGGUUAAAAUUAAUCACAACAGAUGGUCCGAUUUUAAGAGAUUUGGAAAAAGUUUUGUUGCUCUGUUAACGUGGUACUGUCCCAUCAAGUGUGUCAGCUAUAUCUAGAAAGGACACAGUGAUGGAAGGAACUCUGAGAAGAACACUUGACAUAAGCAGGGGUUCUUAUCUGGGCAUCCCAUUCACUCCUCAACCCACUGCACCUUAGAAUGCUAAUUCAGUAUUUAAAACUACUUUCUUAAAAGGCCACUAAUGAAGUUGCCAGAGCCCCACCUCUGCAUCAUUUCACACUGUUAGUGACUAAUUUCCUUCACACACCUGUCCUCUUACUUGACCCUGUAUGCAUCAAUAUUCUUUUCUUUGCAGGGCACUCUAUCAGUGAGCAAAGUUACUUUUAGAAAAAUUACAGCCUUGAUUUUUUUGAAGCUAUUCAAUGUAUGCUAGCCAUGUAAACAAAAUUUGAUGUGAUGUCUAGCUGACUUGAUCAUGUCAUAUCAAUAUGUAUGUAUCUCUGUUAACUAUGCAGACUAAUAAAACCUUCAAACUGAAGGGACCUGAGAAAAACAU
This 915-nucleotide long non-coding RNA is filed under the name Bos taurus (domestic cattle). RNAcentral describes it as "long non-coding RNA NONBTAT006286". The record is from RNAcentral. Lineage: Eukaryota; Metazoa; Chordata; Mammalia; Artiodactyla; Bovidae.